Long non-coding RNA from Pongo pygmaeus (Bornean orangutan), 3362 nucleotides. RefSeq lists it as uncharacterized. The transcript has 4 exons. The record is from RefSeq and is a predicted model, not a curated record. Lineage: Eukaryota; Metazoa; Chordata; Mammalia; Primates; Hominidae.
GGUCGGCGCUGGGUGUGUCACUUACUAAAGUUCCCUUUAGCGUCAUUCUGGGUCUGUGAGACAAGUGUAACUUUGAAUCAUCAGAACCACUUAUUUCUUCCUGUGUCAGUAUAGUUAAAGUAAGUUGUUCUUUGGUAAUUCCCCAUGUGUCACACUAUAGCGUUAUUCUUAAGACGGCUUCACUGGGUAUAUUAACGUGCUAUGGAUUGGGUUAAGCUUAUGAAAUCUAAGACAGUUAAGUCUGAUUUGUAAUAAUACCUUAGAAGCCCAAGUUUCAUUAGCAUUUGUAUUUUUGCUGGUACAGAAACUUUAUAUUUUAUGUGAAGUUGACUUAGAUCGUUAGAUAGAGAAAAAAUAUAAACAGUUUAGGUAAUACUGUUGCUUUAUCAUAUUGCAGUUUGACAUUGAAAAUUGUAAAGUUUCAGUCUGCACAGUCCUGCACUGUUUUUGUGAUUCUGUUUUUAUCUUGAUUUAUUCUGGUUGCUGCCUUUUAAAGUGGGGGGAUGGGGGUGGGUAAAAAAAAAAAAAAAAAAAAAAACUCUGGUGUCUUUACCAAGUCUGUUUCAGAGCUUUUUGAUUCAUUUGAUCUUUUUGGAAUACUUUACCUCCUUUACGUUUCUAUCUGUGUUCACUUUUGCACAUUGUGUAACAACUUCGUGCUGACUAAAUGAGGGCCAGAGAGAGAAAGAUAAACUUAUCAGCAUUUUUAUUUUAAUACGUUAGAGUGGAGGAAUGUGUAUGCGAGGGUGGAGAUUACGGAUAAGUUGAGAAAGGAAAUAGUAACAUUCCAGAUUUUUGCUACUUCUAACCUUAUUCUCAGUUUUAAACGUUACUGAGUUUACUCAGCAUUUAUACAGAGGAAUCAAUCAUCCGAAGGUUUCCUGUUUUAUAAUGGGUUUGUAAAACACUAUCUUGACUUAUUCUGUGAUCAUUGCAAAAAUUGUUUAAAGACUUUCAUUACUGGUUGAAAUUCCCAUAGUGUGAUGAUUUUUAAUUUCAUUAUUAUAUGUGAAACUUAAAAGUAAUGACAGUUAUUUGGAAGACAAUCAGAAUUACUUUUAUAGAACACUUAGGUCCAGAAUAGGUCUUUCUCAAAUGUCAUGAUGUAAAAGGGGCAAGGAAUGUACAUUUAGGUGAGAAACAGCAGCUUCUGAUGCUAGUCCCCUGAAAAAACUUACUUCUGCUACCAAAAGUUGGGUUAGGAGCAUUUCAGGAUUGUUUCAGAGAAAAUCAUGUAGGCGCCGGGCGUGGUGGCUCACGCCUGUGAUCCCAACACUUUGAGAGGCCGAGGCGGUGCAUCACUUGAGAUCAGGAGUUCCAGACCAGCCUGGCCAACAUGGUGAAACCUUGUCUCUACUAAAAAUAAAAAAGCCAGGCAUGGUGUUGGGUGCCUGCAUUUCCAGCUACCCGGAAGGCUGAGGCAGGAGAAUCACUUGAACCCGGGGGGCAGAGUUGUAGUGAGCAGAGAUUGCACCACUGUACUCCAUCCUGGGCGGUAAAGCGAGACUCCGUUUCAAAAAAAAAAAAAAGAAAAAUUAUAUAGAUAUUUAACUUUUUUAAAAGCCAGCAAAUGGUUCUUCCAAGAAGGUUAGAAAACCUCUGUCCACGAUGUUUCUUAAUCCAUGGAUUUGUUGUCUAUUUUGAAUCCAAAAGCCAGAAAAGCUAUUUAAGCAUAUAUAUGUGUAUGGUUUUAAUUAAUUUAUUUAUUUUUGAGACAGAGUCUCGCUCUGACGCCCAGGCUGGAGUGCAGUGGUGUGAUCUCGGCUCACUGCAAGCUCCGCCUCCCAGGUUCACGCCAUUCUCCUGCCUCAGCCUCCCGAGUAGCUGGGACUACAGGCGCCCGCCACCACGCCCGUCUAAUUUUUUGUAUUUUUAGUAGAGACAGGGUUUCAUCAUGUUAGCCAGGAUGGUCUUGAUCUUCUGACUCCAUGAUCCGCCCACCUCGGCCUCCCAAAGUGCUGGGAUUACAGGCAUGAGCCACCGUGCCCGGCCAAUGUGGAUGGUUUUUAAAUUUUUUUAAUUAAAAAAAUUUUUUAUUAAGUUUAUUUAAAAAUUUUUUUUUUGGAGAGACUAGGUCUUGCUAUGUUGCCCAGGCUGAUCUUGAACUUGUAGCUUCAAGAGAUCCUCCUUCCUAAGACUCCCAAAGUGCUGAGAUUUAUAGGCGAGAGCCACCAGAUUAUAUGUGUUUUUUAAAGGUACAAAGAUAAAACCUGUAAUUUGUAUUAGGGAAACAAAUGAAAAUAAGUAGUUGCAGUUUAGUAUAAAAAGUUGAAACUGAAGUAUGUAUAUAAAAAAGUACUAUGGGAGCGCAAAGGUUUUUCUUAAAAUUUUUAUUCUGUAUUAGAAAAGUGGGAGGUGAGUGGGCUUUCUGCUUUUGUCCUCUUUCUGCGUGUUUAUUCAAUACUAUUUUGGGCCUCUACCAUAGACCUUUAUUAAUUGGUAAGCUUGCAUGUUUUUAUUAGUAAACUGGCAUAUGAUGUUGCAAAAAAAAAAAAAGUACUGGAAAAUAUCCAGUCUGCUUGUGUGACUUUGAUUUCCAUAGUAACUUGUCAUAAAUAAGAUAUCUUGCUGUUUUUCUUUUCACAGAUGCUGCACUUAAAAGGAUGCUUGUUUUGAUCUUCUGCUCAUUGUUUUCCUCAUGAAAUAUCAGUAAUCCAUCCUAGAGGUGGUGUUCUUUUUAAGAAUUUGAGAAGGAAAAUGUAGUUCCCAGCUACUUUUAUGUAAUUUGUUCCUUUAAAUGGCUCCAGUGAAAAGUAAGAUGUAAAUGCAGAUAAUUGCAGAACUUACAUACAAAGAAUGCAUAAGAGGGGAAGGGGGAGUGAGAAACUCAGGCUUCACAGAGCUGACACUUGAAUUGGGGUUAAGUUGAAGAACAGACAAACUUAGACACAAAGCUAUGCAAAAAUUGUGAUGAACAAGGAAAAGAUGAUGGUAAUUCUCAUUUUUAGAACUGGUCAUCAGGAGAGUUUAAAAACCUUUUCUGCUGCUUGUCCUGUGAGGAGUUUAAACAGAAGAACCAUAUUUGGGAAAAUAAUCUCUAACAUAGAGCUAAUUAUGGACUUUCCUGGCACAGAAGGAAGGAUGCUAUAACCUAACUAGGUGGACUGUCUGUGGAUACUACGGGUAAUUAUGACACUAGUGAUUUUGUAAGUGGACUAUUUAUAUGGUACUUAUUCAAUUCAAAUAUGGGCACAUAAUGAAAGUGGGCAUUAGCUGCACAUACAUUAAAUGGAAUUUAGUAAUUUAAAAAUAUCGAUUCAUUUUUCUUGAAAAAUUAAAAAGGGAGAAAAUUCAUCUAUAAUCUAUGUUUUUUUGUUAAAUUUAACUGUGGAAAAGUUUUGGAAACUAGUUUCCUUAAUAUG